Long non-coding RNA from Homo sapiens (human), 12888 nucleotides. RefSeq lists it as uncharacterized. The transcript is spliced from 4 exons. NCBI's taxonomy places the organism in Eukaryota, Metazoa, Chordata, Mammalia, Primates, Hominidae. The record is from RefSeq and is a predicted model, not a curated record.
ACCCUCCUGAACAAAGACACGGGGGUGGAGAGGAGGGUGCUUAGAGCCACAGCGACGUGAGAUUGCGGCUUCAUCUGGGAGGAAAGUGAGUCUCAUUAUCCUCAGGCUCAGAAAAUCACUAAAGUUCAGCACUUGAAUGAGAGGUAAGAGUAAUUCCUAUUUUUAGUUGGGGAAAAGUAUUAUGGUUUAGAUGAUCCCAUGCUUGGCGGCAUCACCCUCGCCAACUGAGCCAGCCUGCUCUGCCUCGGACUUGGCCGGGGGUUGAGCCCAGCCGCACAGGGACAGCAGUUCGCUGGGCUGGAUCUUCAAGGCUGAGUGGUCAGGGGAAUUUGAAGGCACGCUGGUCAGGCUUGUUCUUUUUGGGGGCACGCUUCUGAGGGUUUCCUUUCUGACCUACGGAAGCCUUUCGCCAAGGCCUGUCUUUUAGAUCGUGGCUUCUGACUUCAGUUUUGAAAGUUUGUCUGUGCCAUCUUCUUGAAAAGGGCAGGAGAGAAAAAACUGGACUAAGAAGCAUAAGAAAAGCUUUCAGGAAAAUUCUGUAGCAACAAAUAAGAUGGUAAUGGGUGUGUCAGUGAUCACAGGAAAUGUCAAUGAGCCAAACUUGUCAGUUAAGAGAUUAUACAACUAAACUAAAAUAAAAUCUAGCUACCUUCUGUUUACAGGAGACAAAUAUGGAGACACAGAAACAUGCAAAUGUUUCUUAAAAAAUGAAAAGAUAUAAUGAGGAAACAAAUAAUUAAGAAGAAAGCUGAUACAGCUGUAUUAAUAUCAAAAUAGAUUUUAAUGGGAAACAAAAGUAAUAUUGGGAUAAAGAGUAGUACUUAAUGACUUUUAAAUGGUUCAAUUCACCAGGAAGAUAAUCUAAAACUUCUAUUUUUGGUUACGUUUUUAAAGUAAAAAUAUGGCAGAAUGACAAUGAAAACAUAAUAUCCAUAAUCUUGGGGGCAUGUCACUAUACCUAUUUGAUGACUGACAUCAGCAGUCCCAAAGUUAGUAAGAGAAAUCGAAAUCCCAUUCUCCAAUCACAAUGAAAUUUAGUUAGAAAUUGGUAACUGCUAGGAAAACUUUCACACAUCUAAUUAUUUUUAAAAAACAUUUAUAAACAGUUCACAAAUCAAAUAUGAAAUGCUAAUGAUAAAAUUUACCCAGAAAUUAUGAAUGUCAAAAUUUGUAGGAUUCAGCUAAAAUGGUACCCCUGCAAGAAAUCCAUAGCUUUGAAUGCCUUACUAGAGAGGAACGCUGAAAAUCAAGCCUGAAUAUUCAACUUGGGUUAGAAAAAAACAAUAGCCCAAAGAAAGCGACACUGAAGAGAAGUUAAUGAAACAGUAGAAAGAACAAAGAAGCUGGUUCUUUAGGGGAAAAAAGCUUAAAAAUGGUUAUGUUCUGGGUAAGACUCAUCGUAAAUAGAGAUGAAAGGAAUAAAAGGCACAUGAACAAUUUUAAACAUGCAAAAGCAAGCCUAACCAGGAACACAGCUAAGGGGGAGACGCACACCAUGGACAACGUUAUGCUGACAUAUCUGACAACUAAAGACAAUUCCAUGGAAAACUUGCCAAAAUUAACGAGAAAUAGUAAAUCUCUAUAACUAUCAGAAAAAAAGAAUAGGUAACUCUUCAAAUAGAGUAGUCACUGGUAACAGCAUUGGAGGCAAGUUCUACUCAACACUCAGGAAUGCAUGAGACACGUGCACUUGCAGAAAGAUCCAAUACCACUAAGAGGUCCAGUGUGUCUCCGUGCAGAAACUUACUGCAAUUCCGCUCAAACUGUAGACAAGGUUCGUCAACAAACUUGAAACUGUAACACUUAUACCAACGGACAAGACCCCAAGAAGAGUCAUGGCAACUAUGAAGAAAAUAAAUGCACACAGAUGUGCAGAGCAGGUCAGGAAUGGCUCCAGCAGACUCAAGCUUCACUAGAAAACAUUUUCUCAGCUCCAGCACUCCUGACACUUUGUGCCAGAUCGUUCUUGGUUGUGGGGUGUCCUGGGUAGUGUGGGGUGUUUAACUGCAUCCCUGGCCUCUGCCCACUAGAUGCCAAUAGCACACCCUUACCACCCCAGGCACGACAACCAAAAUGGGUCUCCAGACAUUGCCAAAUGUCCCCUUGGGGGCAAAAGUGUCCCCAGCUGAGAACCAACACUUGAUGACUAAGUAGACUACAGUAUGGUUUUGGCUCAGGGACGGGCGGCAGAAGAAUGGAGCCGAAAAGAGAGGCUUGAAGAUUCCUGAAUAUACAGAAACUGCCAAAGGUGUCGUUUCAUUCCAACAGAUUAGCAAAAAUUUAAAAAUCUGAUGCUACCAAGUGCCGGCGAAGAUGUAAUCAGAAUGUGCAUAUGUGGCUGAGGAGACUAUAAACUGGUGCAAAUGUUUUGGCAAGAAAUUUGACAGCAUCUAGUGAAAUGAAAGACAGCCAUGUCAUUGUGACCAGUAAUUCCUCUCCUAGUUAUAUACCCUAAAGAAAUGGUUUCCAAAGUGUGGUCCCCUCAGCAUCACCUGGUAACUUGGUUAUAAUGCAAAUCCUCAGGCCCCACCUCACACCUGCAGUGGGCCCAGGAAUCCAUGUUUGAACAGCCCUCCAGGGGACUGUGGGACUGCUCAAGCCUGAGAACAGCUGGUCUUAAAGCAACUCUUACGUAUAUGUACAGAGAGAGAAAUUAUAAGAAUGUCCAAGGCCGGGUGUGGUGGCUCACGCCUGUAAUCCCAGCACUCUGGGAGGCCCAGGUGGGAGGAUCACUCGGGCCAAGGAGUUCGAGACCAGCCUGGGCCACACAGUGAGACCCUGUCUCUCCAAAAAAAUAAAAAAUUAGCCCGGCAUGGUGGUGCACACCUGUCGUCUCAGCUACUCGGGAGUCUGAGGUGGGAGAACCACUUGAACCCAGGAGUUCCAGACUGCAAUGAGCUAUGACCACGCCACUGCACUCCAGCCUGGGUGACAGUGAGACUCCAUCCUAAAACAAACAAAAGUCCAUGCCGGCAUUGUUUUUAUUAAAUAAGAAAACUGGAAACACCCAUCAAUACAUCAAUGAAUAAAUUACAUUUAUUCAAUGGAAAUAAAUAUUUAAGGAUGGAAAUCAAAUUAGAGGUGAAUAUAUCAGUAUGGAUGAUUCUCAAAAUCAUAGCACUUAGGUGCACUGUUGCCUGUUAAUUCUAUCUUUUCUAACUUUAUUGUAAUUUUAUCAUUAGCCCCAAACCUCGUUCUCUUCCCAGGGCACUGGGUCCACGCUGGAGCAUCCCAGAGCUGAUCAAUCCCUCUGGAAGCAGGGACACCCCUGGCUCCAUAGGAUUCCAUUUUGCUGAACUACUGGUUCAGAAACACAAGAGCCUGACAUCUAUGGGAACACAGAGCCAGAAAACCCAGGCACAGACCAGGACAUCUCCGAGGUAUUUCCAGCAGGUAUCUGCUAGACGCGUUCUCUCUGCCAGCCCGCUGACUUGCUAGCUGUGGAGCAACUGCAGUACGUGCCCGUCCCUGUCACCAGGGGCUGGCCAUCAACAGAAGCUGCUCCUUCCAAGCCGGCCACGCGUCUACUACUUCAUCAUCCUCUCGGGGGUGCAUCCACGGCUCUCCCUACAAUGGGAGCUUCCUGAGAGGCACUUUCAUUUCUCUGUGCUUCCUCUGGGCUCACCAGCAAGUGCUAAACUGAAGGAAGAUAGAGUUAAAUUGUUUAGCAAUCAGAGUUUCUAUGACUGUCCAUCAUCACUGCAUCUCUUCUAUGACAUGAGACAUUGGUGCGAUGUGUCAUUAUGUUCAAAUGUGUGGGUCGGCCAGGGUGUAUCUGUAUGGACUGAAUGUGUCCCCAUAAAAUUUGUAUGUUGAAGCCCUAACCCCCAAUAUGAGGAUAUUUGGAGCUGGGGCCUUUGGGAGGUAAUUAAGUUAGAUGAGGUCAGAUGGACAUGGCCCCUGUGGUUGAGAUUAGCCCUAAUACCAAGAGAUAGCAGAGAGCUCCACCCUACUGUUGGCCACGUGCACACAUAGGGAGAAGGGGGCCGUCUAUAAGCAAGGAAGAGAGCCCUCAUCAGAAACCGAUCGCGCCAGCAUGCUGAUCUUGGAUCUGAGGCCUCCAGAACUGAGGGAAAAUAAAUGUCUGCUGUUGAAGUCACCCAGUCCAUAUUGUUUUGUUAUGGCAGCUGGGGUAAGACAGUGUCCUUCUCGGUUUCUACCCUUAACAGGAUAAAAAUCCCUGGAGCAAACCCUCUCCUUCCUCCCAAAGGAGCCAUGGGAAGCCACUCUCUACAAUUUGCAGCAAACACGGAAGCACCAGAAUCCUGCACGUAUGCUCGGAGGAAACGCACAGAGGACAAAUGCAGGGUCGCAGGAUACAAGAAUGGCAAAGGCUGACUCCAGAGAACGUUGUUAAGCUUCAAAUCUAUACUGUGCAUUGGAAGGUAAACAAGCAUCAUCCACACAACUAACUGACUGCAUUCACCAGCACACUCUGAAGUCUUCAACUACUGCUAUUAAUCUAUUUUUCUCAACAUUAUUUUCUUUCCUCAUUCUUGGAUUUCUUUUUAUUUAUGUAUUUAUUUUUUGAGAUGGAGUCUUGCUCUGUCGCCAGGCUGGAGUGCAGUGGCGCGAUCUCAGCUCACUGCAACCUCUGCCUCCCGGGUUCAAGUGAUUCUCCUGCCUCAGCCUCCUGAGUAGCUGGGACUACAGGCACAUGUCACCACGCCCAGCUAAUUUUUGUAUUUUCAGUAGAGACGAGGUUUCACCAUGUUGGCCAGGAUGGUCUCCAUCUCUUGACCUCGUGAUCCACCCACUUCGGCCUCCCAAAGUGCUGGGAUUAUAGGCGUAUGCCACUGCGCCUGGCCUCAUUCUCGGAUUUCUUUAACCUCUCCUUGGAGGGGACACAGAACUGGAUGACAAGGAAGAAACACUCCUGGGAGAUGUGGUUGGGGGCAGGAUAGAGAGAACAAAGGCCAGGGCCAGGCAAGGCUGGGGAAAGGAUGAAGGCUGAGAUUUGGGGGGUGAGGGAGGUGUCCAGAAGAUGAUGAGACGUUCAGGAGAAUGGGAGGGCAGGAAAACAGGGCAAGGUUUGGACGGGUCUCCCCGCUGCCGGGGGUCUGGUACUGCCUGUGCAGCGCAGGCUGGAGGGAAAAUGUAAGCUGCCCAGUGCCGCUGCCCUGCCCACCCCUGCUGCACCUCUGAGUCACUCAGUUCUUCCAAAGGAAAAGCUGGGAAGAAGGAGUUCGGUGUCUGGACUUCUAAUCAGCUUGUUCCUUACAGCACUAUUUACUGAGGGAAAGAUUUUAAAUGUUCAGCUAGGAAAACUGGUGGAAUAUAUUAGGAUACAUCAUGACAAAAAGAUGCAGCCUUUGACACACAACCUCUUAUAGUAUUUUUAACAACAGGCGGAAAGAGCCCUAUGUAACAUGAAGAAAAGUUAGAGACAAAGCCAUAUAUAUGUACGGUCCAGUCAGAUACCAAUUAGAUAAGCAGACUCGACAGAGACUAGAAAGAACACACGAAAAGCAGUAACAGGGACUAUUCUGUACUGGAGAAUUAAGGGCUAUUUUUCUUUUUUUCCAUUUUGGUAAUUUUGCAGGUUCUCUAGAAGCAUAAUUUGUGUUUGUAAUCUUUUUUUUUUUUUUUUUUUUUUGAGACAGUCUCACUCUGCCACCUAGGCCGGAGUGCAGUGGUGCGAUCUCGGCUCAUGGCAACCUCCGCCUCCCGGGUUCAAGUGAUUCCCGUGCUUCAGCCUCCUGAGUAGCUGGGAUUAGAGACACGCGCCACCACGGCCGGCUAAUUUUUGUAUUUUAGUAGAGAUGAGGUUUCACCAUGUUGGCCAGGUUGGUCUCAAACUCCUGACCUCGGGUGAUCUGCCUGCCUUGGCCUGCCAAAGUGCUGGGAUUACAGGCGUGAGCCACCACGCCUGGCUGUAUCUGUAAUCUUUAGAGGUAUUAAAAAAAAUAUAUCUUCAACUAAAGCUUAGACUGAUAGAAGAGGCAAAAGCAGGGCAAGAGAGAGGUGGCCCGACGCACACAUUUUGGUUGCUGGGGUCUCAUAACAGAACGGAACUUCUGAGGAUUCUGCCCCAUGCCCUGCUCUGGGGAGAGGGGUCCAUCGCCACCCCGCACAGCCGGUGAGUCCCCACACCAGCAGCCCCAGCCCCCACUCGCCUCGCCGCUCUGCAAUCUGCAGGUAGCCAGUGGACAGGUACUGCUCCAUGUCCUGCUGGAAGGCUUCCUCAAAAAACUUCUGCCGCUCCUUCAGCUUCAUUUGCUGGGUGUGCUCCAUUUCCAGGACCUUCUGGGCGUGCUCUGCAUCUAGUUCAGCUGAGGAAACAGAAUAACUGGGGUUAGGGUUUGAAAAGGGACUGAGAGAGGAAAUGGGUAUAAACAGCUGCUCGCAUCCACCCUCCAAGUGGAUGGAGUCAUGCCGCGUUUACAGACUGGGCUGGUGCCCCGACUGCGUGUACAGCUGGCCUCCUUGUCCCCCAAUCUGCUGCACUUCCUCCCCCUACCUGGGCGGUCAGGGUCAGGCCCUUCGUUCCACACCUUUGCAUGUGCUGUUCCCUUUGCUGGAACGACCUUCCCACCCGCAUCGCCCAUUCAUCAGUCACAAACAGCUGUUCACCUUCCAAGACCAGCUUCUCAGGUCGUCCUUCUACUAACUCCAGUGGAGUCUGCUGCUCCAUCCAGAUGUUUCCACAUCCCUGUGUUUAGACUUUUGCAGCUGACUUACAAAAAUUGCAGUGCAAUUGCUAAGGAUUUGGAGUCCCUGCAAGACUGUGACCAUGUAUGACUCAUUUCAACAUGCUGUCACUCAGCUCAGAGCCUGGCACACAGUAAGCUCUCAAGUUCCUUCCCACGCUCACACUCUCUCCUACUGCCUUGUGAAGAAGGUGACUGCUUCCCCUUCUGCCAUGAUUGUAACUUUGCUGAGGCCUCCCCAGCUAUGCAGAACUGUGCCUGAACUCUGGCAAUGACCUGAAGGGCCCUCACACAGAUUCUUCUCCAGUGCCUCCAGAAAACAACGCAGCUCUGCGACCCCUGAUCUCAGCCUCAUGGAAUACUGGGCAGAGAAUCCAGUCACAGCUUGCCUACACUUCUGCCCUACAAACUGGAAGCUGAUAAAUUUGUUUCAUUUUAAACUGUUAUGUUUGUGGUUAUCUAUUACACAGCAAUAUGGGCUUAUUCCAAACAGGCUGUAUGAAUUCAGGUCCCUGACCAAAUCUGGUUGACUGUAAAAAUGAAAAAGGACAACCUGAGUGCCUUACCUUACGUAAAUAUUUCCUAACUCCUGCCCUGUGUCUGUGGCAGACACCCUGCUCCGCUGAGUUUGGGUGCUAUUACUCCGGAAAAUCUAGUCAUCUGCAGAAACCAUUUCAGCUACCUUCUGUCCUGGGAUACACUGUAACAAACCAUUUCACCCAAGGCAUUGUUUCCUCUGGUUCAGCUCAGGGGAGUAUCAACAUCUUAGGGGUGUUAUCAAGAUUGUUAACAAAACAAACGCAGCAGCUCUUACCAUGGACAAUGGUGAAUGAGGUCCGUUAUCUGCCUUAGUCCCUGCCCAUCCCCACAUUCCCAGCACCACACUCUCAACUCCGGAGUCCAGCAAGCUGGUAUGCAUGGCAGACCUUAAAACCCAGUGAUGGAGUUUAUCAUCUCAAAUCAGGUACAGUGUCUAAUACUUAGAAUACUAUGGGCUUUCUUCUUAUAUUCUGAUCUACAUACAUGCAAGAAACACAAACUAAUGCUAACCAAAGCAACAUAGGAAAAGUAAAUAUUCCUAAUUAGCAUGUAAUCACAUGCAUAGUAUUUCCUCUGUGCAUUCUGCUCAUACUGUUGCCAGUACUGGGUGCCCUCUCUCCAUUUCCUGCUACCUCAUCCCACAUGUGUUUACGUGAAGACGGUCUGCCACAGUGGGAAGAGUUUCUUGUGCUCACAGGUUUUGGGCUAGGCCCAACUCAGGUCCUACACUCCUAGCGCCUCUUGGCACAGCCCUCUGGUCUACCUCUACGUUCAGCUGCAGCUAUGGAAGCCAGUUCUGUGUGCGCUCAUUGGGAUGCACAGAGGGUCCCACCUCACAGCCACGCCUGUGUGGCUGUUUUUCUGGUCAGAGUAUUCUCUGAAUCUCAGGGAACCUAGCCAGCACAGCCCAGUUUUGUGGAAUUAAGGCAGUUCUCAACCAACAUGUGACAGAGGUCAGUGUCUCAGGACCCUGGUCUAACAUCCUUUGGGUGGACGAUUCUAGGAGGCGUUCUCAACACUUCUCAGAGAUCCUGGUACGACGGCACAUCCUCACUGGCUUUAGCAGCUUCCUGCUUUUAGCUUCUUUUCCUCGCUGUCUCACUUUCCCUGUCCCUCGCUCCUGCUUCUUGGAAUCGCCUCCCAAAGGACCUGCAGCUAAAUCCUCUUCAGGAUUUAGUCUCAGACUCUUUUUCCACAUAACUGAUUUCACCAGAGUUGCAACUUCUCCUCCAUACAAGUGCGGUAAAAACACCUAUUUCGUAAGGUUGUUGGCAGGAUUAAAUGAGGUAGCAAAUACGAAUCACCAAGCAUACAAUGUUGGCCAAUAGCUGGCAGCUAAUAUUAAUACCAGCAUUAUUUAAACAACAGCCUCUUGAAGAGGGAGCAACACCAAAUAUUACCAAGAACCAGGACUCACUAUGCACUGAAAAUCACCUGCUCUGGGCCCCACUCAGAUGCUUAAGAAUUAGUUACCUUUCAGUACUCUUAAUAAAUCUGCAAGGAAUUUAGAGUGUACUCGUAAGAAAAAAAAAUGAACUGAAGAGGAUGUCUUUUCAUUUGUUUCACUUCAGUUGUCAACAUAUCUGUUCAAAUGAUUCAUGGCUGCCAAGUGCAUUAGAAUAAGUCAACCCUAAAAUACAUUAAGUAUGCUUCAACUGCUUCAAAGUUCAGCUAAUCUUCUUUUGAAAAAUAAUUCCAGAAUAGGCAGCUCAAAACCAAAGAUCAAUGCAGAAAUCAUCAAAGGGGUUUUAAUUAAAGAAUAUCUUGUUUUAACAGAAUUAAGAUUUUCUGUAGAUAUAUAACAUAAAAAACAUUUUUCUCAAGACUACUUCUGCUUUAAAAGUUUGAUUCUCUCGUGUUGCUGAAUUAUUGGCCCUUCAGUUUAUCUCAGUUUUUUCUACAUCAGAAUGAAAUCCAAUCAUGUCUCGACCUUCACAAGGGAGGAGGGGUUAGAUUAGGAAACUUAAAAUGACUUUUUUCUUUUUUGACAUGGAGUCUUGCUCUGUCGUCCAGGCUGGAGUGCAGUGGCGCGAUCUCGGCUCACUGCAAGCUCUGCCUCCCAGGUUCACGCCAUUCUCCUGCCUCAGCCUCCCGAGUAGCUGGGACUACAGGUGCAUGCUGCCACUGCCAGCUAAUUUUUUUGUAUUUUUAGUAGAGACAGGGUUUCACCAUGUUAGACAAGAUGGUCUCGAUCUCCUGACCUCGUGAUCCGCCUGCCUUGGCCUCCCAAAGUGCUGGGAUUACAGGUGUGAGCCAAUGUGCCUGGCCUUAAAAUGACUUAUAAAAAAUAGGAGAAAACAAUCACUGUUUUAAGUUUUAAAACAUGUUCCUCACUAGGUAUCUGAAACAUCCCCAGCUGUCCCCACCAGCUCCCCACUUCAUUUCAGAGCCCUUUUUGUAUCUCGGGGCUAAGCACUAAGCCAGCUUCACUGAGGACCGAGUAUAGUUGCACCACACCAGCCACUAUUCAGGAUGACUAUGAAAAAGCACAAAGCGGGCAUUUAAAAAUAACUUUGCUGCCCAACAGCUAAGAGACAUUUGCCCUCAGCGACGUGACUGAAUGAGGAUGUUCUAAUUGUGCUGUGUGUACUGAAAUCAUCAAUUGGGCCUGCAUCAAGAAAACAACCAAAUAUGGGAGAGGUGAAAUGAUGGGAGGAUAUUUGAAGGAAAAAUUUCAAAUCUAGGGGUUUAACAGCAUCUGAAUUUUAGAAUGAGGACUGAAAAAUCUAAAUUACAGAACAUUUUCUACAAGGAAAAAUGACCCCUUGCUCACAUUAAGAUGCCAUUUAUUAUACUGGGGAAAGCCAGACAAAUACAAAGAUGUUAAGAGCUUCAACAAAUGGACUUCAGAUUAAAAGAAAAAAAAUCAAAACAAGAUGCAGUAGUUUUUCUACGACGAGUCAAGAGUAAUCAUUUAAUUCCAUUAUCACCUCAGGCCUAUGUCUUUUUAUUUCAACUCCAGAUCAUUGCUCAAGUUUUAUCUGACUGCAACUUCCACUUUAGUUACCACUAUCAAUUUCAAAUGCUUACUUACUCAAAACAACAAAAAAUUCCAUUACCAGUGAAGACGGAAUAAUCAAUUCUCAAUUAUACGUUUUAAUGGGGCAUAAGGGUGGCACAAGAUAUAUGAAAUUAAAAAAAACCAAGUUCAUUUCAGGAACAUAUUCAACAUACUCUACAACUAAGCCUUUUAACCGAGAUAGGUAAUAAAUAUAGUGAGGUGUUAAUGACCGAAAAAGGCCCCCAAACCUCUGGGAGUCAUGUAUAGAAAACUAGGAUAAGCCUCUCUCUUAAGAGUUCAAAAUGUUAAAAGAGAAACAGUAACACUUACUACAUAUGAAUUGAGAAAAAUUCUAGUAAUCUCUCUAUUAAAGAUUAAGAGCAUUGUUCAUUAGAGAUAAAUAAGACUAAGAAUAAACUUUAAAAACUAACUUCAAUAUUUACAAUUCAGGUGUUUUUAUAUUGAGUUAGGAAAUAUGAGUUUUGUGAUAUUAAAAUACAUGUGACAUGAUCAAGAGAGAACUGUGAAAUAUCUGUAAGUCUCUAAACAAUUUUCUGAAUACAAAUAAACAUCUCUUCAAGCUGUUUUUUGAUAAAAACAAUUGCCAACAGUCUGUCAAAUUACAUAACCACUAGAAGACAUUAAAUUCUGUCAAUGUGACAGAUUUUAAAAAUUGGGACCUAUGAUUUGUUUUGUUUUUUGUUUUUUGUUUUUUUUAGACGGAAUCUCACUCUGUCACCAGGCUGGAGUGCAGUGGUACGAUUUUGGCUCACUGCAAUCUCGGCCUCCCUGGUUCAAGCCAUUCUCCUGCCUCAGCCUCCUGAGUAGCUGGGAUUACAGGCACACGCCACCACACCCAGCUAAUUUUCGUAUUUUUAGUAGAGACAGGGUUUCACAUUGUUUGACAGGAUGGUCUCGAUCUCCUGACCUUUUGAUCCACCCGCCUCGGCCUCCCAAAGUGCUAGGAUUACAGGUGUGAGCCAUCGCACCUGGCCAAAUUUUUUAUGCUUCUAAUUAUUUGCAUUUUUUUCUUUUUAGACAGAGUCUCACUCUAUUGCCCAGGCUGGAGUAAAAUGGCACGAUCUUGGCUCACUGCAACCUCCACCUCCUGGGUUUAAGUGAUUCUUGUGUCUCAGCCUCCCGAGUAGCCGAGUAGCUAAGACUACAGAUGUGCACAACCACACCUGGCUCAUUUUUGUAUUUUUAGUGGAGACAGGGUUUCACCAUGUUGGCCAGGCUGGUCUUGAACUCCUGACCUCAGGUGAUCCGCCCACCUGAGUCUCCCAAAGUGCUGGGAUUACAGGCAUGAGACACCGUGCCCGGCCUAUCUGCAUUUAUUUAAUAGGGUAUUUUUGAUGCAUGAACUAUGUACACUGAGGAAAAUUUUUAGCCAUAAAAAAUUAUUUAUUCCACAAAUAAUAGGGUGAAAGUCCCUAUUUUAGGGGACUUUUCCUAUUAUAGAUGACUACAACUAGCACAUUUUGGUGUAUACCCAUCAGGGAUUUUUCCCCCCAUUAGGAUGACUAUAUGAAAUUGCAAUACUCAAUUUUUAAAGCUUUUUACUUCGAAAUAAUUAUAGGUUCAUAGGAUGUUACCUAGAAAUGUACAUCCUGAAUGUCCCUCAGUGCUAACAUCUUACAUAAUUCUGGUAUAAGGUCAAAACCCAACAAUUAACAUGGGUACAAUCCACAAAGCUUAUUCAGAUUUCACCAGUCACACAUGCGCUGUGCGUGCAGAUGGGCAUACAGCUCCAUGCAGUCUUACUACAUGCAUAGCCUUGUGUAAGCACUACAUCAAUACAGUACCACCGUAAGACUCCCUCAGGUUCCCCUUGCAGGAUACAGUAAAUUCCUCUUCAAAGUUUAGCCUGUUAACUUCCUUUAAAAUUCAAGAAGGAGAAAAAUUGUUAAGUACAAUAAGUUCUGAGUUCUUCUUCAAAGAACCAAUAUGUCAGUAUGUUCAGCUUCCCUGUUCUUUGUUCUCCAUUUUAAAGUUUAACUUCCUCAUUCUUUACUCUCCUUGCCCCUAGUUUCAGUAAAUGACCCCCUCCUAGCCUCUGUCACCUGUUCUGUCCUUAGGCAUCCUUAGUCACCUGUUCUGUAACUGUCCUUUCCACCAAAACUACUCACCCUGCCACUCCGGCUCAUACCCUUGCUCUCUUUAAAAGAGACAAUUGGAAUUAGCUUAGACUGUGCAGUCCAACCCUAGCCAAUAGGGGAAAGACACAGCAGUAGGAGCUAGCGGCAUUAGGAAUAAGACCCCUUCCCCUUCCUUGUCUGGUGUGCUCUCGCCAUUGUUCCAUCCACAAGAUACACCCUUCUAUAGAAGUAAAUUGCCUUGCUGAGAAAACUUUUGCCUGAGUGUCAUUUUCACUUGGUGACACCAAGCAUUUACUUCCAACACCUCUUAUAGCCAUGCCCUCCUUCCCCAAACACUCAGCUGGACUCCAAAUCUAUAAUUAUGUUAUUUCAUAUGUUAUGUAAGUGGAAUCAUGUACUAUAUAUCCUUCUGAGACUCGCUUUUUUCACUCAGCAUAAUUGCCUUGGGGUUUCUCCAAGCUACAGCACAUAAUAAUCUGUUCCCUUUUAUUAUUGAGUAGAAUUUUAUGGUAUGGAUGUACCACAGUUUGUUUAACCAUUCACCCACUGAAUGGCUGUUUCCAACUUUUGGCUAUUAUGAAUAAAGCUGUCAUGAACA